This 69-nucleotide transfer RNA is filed under the name Nezara viridula (southern green stink bug). Its description in RNAcentral is "tRNA-Ala". The record is from RNAcentral. Lineage: Eukaryota; Metazoa; Arthropoda; Insecta; Hemiptera; Pentatomidae.
GGGAUAAUAGUUAAAACUAUAACAUUUAAAUUGCAAUUAAAAAAUACUAUAAAUUAAUAGUUUAUCUCA